This 746-nucleotide ribosomal RNA is filed under the name Citeromyces matritensis. RNAcentral describes it as "LSU rRNA". It matches the Rfam family "Eukaryotic large subunit ribosomal RNA", at positions 1 to 706 of the family's 3401-position model. Lineage: Eukaryota; Fungi; Ascomycota; Pichiomycetes; Pichiales; Pichiaceae. The record is from RNAcentral.
GCUGGGGUUGGUUUGCGCAAUUUAGGCUCGGCCUUUAGAACAUGACUAUAAGUUUGACCUCAAAUCAGGUAGGAGUACCCGCUGAACUUAAGCAUAUCAAUAAGCGGAGGAAAAGAAACCAACAGGGAUUGCCUUAGUAACGGCGAGUGAAGCGGCAAAAGCUCAAAUUUGAAAUCUGGUACCUCUGGUGCCCGAGUUGUAAUUUGUAGAAGGUAAUCUUGGGAGUGGGCCUUGUCUAUGUUCCUUGGAACAGGACGUCGAAGAGGGUGAGAAUCCCGUAAGGCGAGGAGACCACAUUCUUUGUAAGAUGCUUUCGAAGAGUCGAGUUGUUUGGGAAUGCAGCUCUAAGUGGGUGGUAAAUUCCAUCUAAAGCUAAAUAUUGGCGAGAGACCGAUAGCGAACAAGUACAGUGAUGGAAAGAUGAAAAGCACUUUGAAAAGAGAGUGAAACAGUACGUGAAAUUGUUGAAAGGGAAGGGCUUUAGAUCAGACUUGGUAUUUAGCUAUCAUUGCUCCUUGUGGGCGGUGCUCUAGCUUUUUACUGGGCCAGCAUCGGUUUAGGCGGUAGGAUAAUGGUGAAGGAACGUAGCUCUGCUUCGGUGGAGUGUUAUAGCCUGUUACUGAUACUACCUGCUUAGACCGAGGACUGCGUCUUUUGACUAGGAUGUUGGCGUAAUGAUCUAAAGCCACCCGUCUUGAAACACGGACCAAGGAGUCUAACGUCUAUGCGAGUGUUUGGGUGUAAAA